Molecule: non-coding RNA, 1283 nt
Organism: Paramuricea clavata
Lineage: Eukaryota; Metazoa; Cnidaria; Anthozoa; Malacalcyonacea; Plexauridae
Source: the annotation of a GenBank genome assembly
UUUGAAUUUUAGAAGUCUGGAAUGGCCAUUUCCUGCGAUUUCACGGCGAAAUACUCCAAAGGGAACAUCAAAAAAUUGCGUGAUUAGCGGAAAAUUUUUGAUAAUUUUUUUAGAAAAAAAAUUUAUAACUUUUUGAAAUCCAUGCAUUUUUUAUUAUAUUUCACUAUAUAUUUUUCAGCUUAACUGAAAAUGUAGCUAAAUAUAGUCAAGUCACGAAAGAGGAAAAUAUCAUGUAUACAAUACGCGUCUGUAAUACGAUCUUUCACUUGAUCAACACAAAACAAUCCAACCUCAAAUAAUCAACAAUUGCAUAACUAUUAUACUGUUGAACACGGCGUUUUAUACACUAUAACGCUACGGCUAGCAUUCGUUAAAAAUUCACUACGUUUGUUAGUAAUGUGACAGAUCACUACGCCUGGCACUCUGAAUGUAAUUCAGUACCCUAUGCCUAUGGUAUUAAUAAUAUAGCGUUUAAUAUAGUCUAUGCGGCCAAAUAUCUACAUAAACAGUGUGAAUUGGUACAGUAUAUCAUUUUUAAAAUUAAACUCCAUAUAAGUGCUCGUUUCAAAUGCACAAAGCAGAUGAACUGGCAGUAAAUAUCACGUUCUUACUUUAUAUCAAUACGACAGGCUUCACAAAUGAAGUUUGUAUUCCCCAUUUAAUAUAUUGUAUUAUGAAAAUACACAAUCAUCAGUCGAGUCUGUUCACAUGCAUUUCGUGAGCUAAAAUAUCUUAGCAGAAGCCAGAAAUUAUAUCAAAAUCACAUUGGGCUUCCACACUCGUUGAUUUCCAUAUUCAUAACUUGAGUAAUCUCGACAGAAUUAGUGAAAAGUGGGUUUAGUCACGCGGAAAGCUCGCAAGUAAAGAUAAUACAAGGCCAAGUCCUGCCAUUUCGAGAGAGCAGGACUUCGCAUUUGUAAACAGUCGGUUUGAGCAUGCGCAGACCUAAUUAUCCAAUCAGAAACCAAGAUUUCUUGUAUGAAUUUACUAUGAAAUAUACUAGCAAGUCCUGCCAUUUGAAAAUGGCAGGACUGAAAUACGAGUCGCGUGUAAAUCAAUGUAGAGUUGCAGUUGCUAGGUAACAGACACGGCAAGCUGUAAAAUUGCGUAAAUAUAACAGAAUGCGAAAAACUUUUUAAAAAAUAAUAACGAAAAAGACGAGAAAAUGAGACAAAAUAACAAUAUGAUAAUGAUAAAUUUUUAAAGCUUCAAGAUAAAUAAAGCAAUGCUUUAGUACGGAAAUUUGGGGAAAUUUUUAGUCCUGCUGGGCAGGACAAGCAGGA